UUUUAUGAGAGUUUGAUCCUGGCUCAGGACGAACGCUGGCGGCGUGCCUAAUACAUGCAAGUCGAACGCUUCUUUUUCCACCGGAGCUUGCUCCACCGGAAAAAGAGGAGUGGCGAACGGGUGAGUAACACGUGGGUAACCUGCCCAUCAGAAGGGGAUAACACUUGGAAACAGGUGCUAAUACCGUAUAACAAUCGAAACCGCAUGGUUUUGAUUUGAAAGGCGCUUUCGGGUGUCGCUGAUGGAUGGACCCGCGGUGCAUUAGCUAGUUGGUGAGGUAACGGCUCACCAAGGCGACGAUGCAUAGCCGACCUGAGAGGGUGAUCGGCCACAUUGGGACUGAGACACGGCCCAAACUCCUACGGGAGGCAGCAGUAGGGAAUCUUCGGCAAUGGACGAAAGUCUGACCGAGCAACGCCGCGUGAGUGAAGAAGGUUUUCGGAUCGUAAAACUCUGUUGUUAGAGAAGAACAAGGAUGAGAGUAACUGUUCAUCCCUUGACGGUAUCUAACCAGAAAGCCACGGCUAACUACGUGCCAGCAGCCGCGGUAAUACGUAGGUGGCAAGCGUUGUCCGGAUUUAUUGGGCGUAAAGCGAGCGCAGGCGGUUUCUUAAGUCUGAUGUGAAAGCCCCCGGCUCAACCGGGGAGGGUCAUUGGAAACUGGGAGACUUGAGUGCAGAAGAGGAGAGUGGAAUUCCAUGUGUAGCGGUGAAAUGCGUAGAUAUAUGGAGGAACACCAGUGGCGAAGGCGGCUCUCUGGUCUGUAACUGACGCUGAGGCUCGAAAGCGUGGGGAGCAAACAGGAUUAGAUACCCUGGUAGUCCACGCCGUAAACGAUGAGUGCUAAGUGUUGGAGGGUUUCCGCCCUUCAGUGCUGCAGCUAACGCAUUAAGCACUCCGCCUGGGGAGUACGACCGCAAGGUUGAAACUCAAAGGAAUUGACGGGGGCCCGCACAAGCGGUGGAGCAUGUGGUUUAAUUCGAAGCAACGCGAAGAACCUUACCAGGUCUUGACAUCCUUUGACCACUCUAGAGAUAGAGCCUUCCCCUUCGGGGGCAAAGUGACAGGUGGUGCAUGGUUGUCGUCAGCUCGUGUCGUGAGAUGUUGGGUUAAGUCCCGCAACGAGCGCAACCCUUAUUGUUAGUUGCCAUCAUUUAGUUGGGCACUCUAGCAAGACUGCCGGUGACAAACCGGAGGAAGGUGGGGAUGACGUCAAAUCAUCAUGCCCCUUAUGACCUGGGCUACACACGUGCUACAAUGGGAAGUACAACGAGUCGCAAAGUCGCGAGGCUAAGCUAAUCUCUUAAAGCUUCUCUCAGUUCGGAUUGUAGGCUGCAACUCGCCUACAUGAAGCCGGAAUCGCUAGUAAUCGCGGAUCAGCACGCCGCGGUGAAUACGUUCCCGGGCCUUGUACACACCGCCCGUCACACCACGAGAGUUUGUAACACCCGAAGUCGGUGAGGUAACCUUUUGGAGCCAGCCGCCUAAGGUGGGAUAGAUGAUUGGGGUGAAGUCGUAACAAGGUAGCCGUAUCGGAAGGUGCGGCUGGAUCACCUCCUUUCUAAGGAA
RNAcentral lists this ribosomal RNA (1569 nucleotides) under Staphylococcus aureus. Its description in RNAcentral is "bacterial SSU rRNA". It matches the Rfam family "Bacterial small subunit ribosomal RNA". The record is from RNAcentral. Lineage: Bacteria; Bacillati; Bacillota; Bacilli; Caryophanales; Staphylococcaceae.